UCAAAAGGUCAUCUGGUCGGCUUUCAAAUGAUUCCACCUGGGACCAUUCCUCAGCAAUGCACCAGAAGAGAGGGAUACCCUGAACAUCCACUAACUCUCUUCUGUAAACAUCCGGCUUGUUGUCCAUGUUUGAGACUCCAGGUACUUGUCUCGAGGAACUGGAAAUCCAGGUUUUCUUUCUACAGUCACUGCUUAAUGGGACUUUCACUUCGUAGGCUGUUUCCUUCAACCAAGAUAAUCUGUGUUAUGCAUUAAGAAAUCAAAAG
Pipistrellus kuhlii (Kuhl's pipistrelle) is the source of this 266-nucleotide long non-coding RNA. RefSeq lists it as uncharacterized. Lineage: Eukaryota; Metazoa; Chordata; Mammalia; Chiroptera; Vespertilionidae. The record is from RefSeq and is a predicted model, not a curated record. The transcript is spliced from 3 exons.